UCAGUUAUCACUGUGCUGAUGCUGUCCAUCUUAAAGGUACAGUACUGUGAUAACUGAAG
MicroRNA precursor from Esox lucius (northern pike), 59 nucleotides. Ensembl annotates it as microRNA 101-1. Its record names the gene MIR101-1. The record is from Ensembl. NCBI's taxonomy places the organism in Eukaryota, Metazoa, Chordata, Actinopteri, Esociformes, Esocidae.